This 862-nucleotide ribosomal RNA is filed under the name uncultured Methanomicrobiales archaeon. Its description in RNAcentral is "bacterial SSU rRNA". It matches the Rfam family "Archaeal small subunit ribosomal RNA", at positions 1 to 872 of the family's 1478-position model. Lineage: Archaea; Methanobacteriati; Methanobacteriota; Methanomicrobia; Methanomicrobiales. The record is from RNAcentral.
UUCCGGUUGAUCCCGCCAGAGGCCACUGCUAUCAGAGUUCGAUUAAGCCAUGCGAGUCGAGAGGUGCAAGACCUCGGCAUACUGCUCAGUAACACGUGGACAAUCUAACCUACGGAAGAGGAUAACCCCGGGAAACUGGGGAUAAUACUCUAUAGACUAUGGAAGCUGGAAUGCUCUGUAGCCGAAAGGUCCGCCGCCGCAGGAUGGGUCUGCGGCCGAUUAGGUUGUUGUUGGGGUAACGGCCCAACAAGCCUGUAAUCGGUACGGGUUGUGGGAGCAAGAGCCCGGAGAUGGAUUCUGAGACACGAAUCCAGGCCCUACGGGGCGCAGCAGGCGCGAAAACUUUACAAUGCGGGAAACCGUGAUAAGGGAACUCUGAGUGCCCGUUAAAUCGGGCUGUCCAUCAGUUUAAAGAACUGGUGAAGAAAGGACCGGGCAAGACCGGUGCCAGCCGCCGCGGUAAUACCGGCGGCUCGAGUGGUGGCCACUAUUACUGGGCUUAAAGCGUUCGUAGCUGGUUUGUUAAGUCUCUGGGGAAAUCUUCCGGCUUAACCGGAAGGCGUCUCAGGGAUACUGGCAGACUAGGGACCGGAAGAGGUGAGAGGUACUCCAGGGGUAGGGGUGAAAUCCUGUAAUCCUUGGGGGACCACCUGUGGCGAAGGCGUCUCACCAGGACGGCUCCGACAGUGAGGGACGAAAGCUGGGGGAGCAAACCGGAUUAGACACCCGGGUAGUCCCAGCCGUAAACGAUGUGCAUUAGGUGUAUCGGUGACCACGAGUCACCGAGGUGCCGAAGAGAAAUCGUGAAAUGCACCGCCUGGGAAGUACGGUCGCAAGGCUGAAACUUAAAGGAAUUGGCGGG